GGGGGAUUAGCUCAGUUGGGAGAGCGCUUGACUGGCAGUCAAGAGGUCAGGGGUUCAAGUCCCCUAUUCUCCACCA
RNAcentral lists this transfer RNA (76 nucleotides) under Bacillota bacterium. RNAcentral describes it as "tRNA-Ala". It matches the Rfam family "tRNA". Rfam says of the family: Transfer RNA (tRNA) molecules are approximately 80 nucleotides in length. Their secondary structure includes four short double-helical elements and three loops (D, anti-codon, and T loops). Lineage: Bacteria; Bacillati; Bacillota. The record is from RNAcentral.